Molecule: ribosomal RNA, 505 nt
Filed under: uncultured bacterium
Lineage: Bacteria
Description: partial 16S ribosomal RNA
Rfam family: Bacterial small subunit ribosomal RNA
Source: RNAcentral
GACGAACGCUGGCGGCGUGCCUAAUACAUGCAAGUAGAACGCACAGUUUAUACCGUAGCUUGCUACACCAUAGACUGUGAGUUGCGAACGGGUGAGUAACGCGUAGGUAACCUGCCUGGUAGCGGGGGAUAACUAUUGGAAACGAUAGCUAAUACCGCAUAAUAUUAAUUAUUGCAUGAUAAUUAAUUGAAAGGUGCAAUUGCACCACUACCAGAUGGACCUGCGUUGUAUUAGCUAGUAGGUGAGGUAACGGCUCACCUAGGCGACGAUACAUAGCCGACCUUGGAGGGUGAUCGGCCACACUGGGACUGAGACACGGCCCAGACUCCUACGGGAGGCAGCAGUAGGGAAUCUUCGGCAAUGGACGAAAGGCUGACCGAGCAACGCCGCGUGAGUGAAGAAGGUUUUCGGAUCGUAAAGCUCUGUUGUAAGAGAAGAACGGGUGUGAGAGUGGAAAGUUCACACUGUGACGGUAUCUUACCAGAAAGGGACGGCUAACUACGUG